Crotalus tigris (Tiger rattlesnake) is the source of this 560-nucleotide non-coding RNA. The record is from the annotation of a RefSeq genome assembly. NCBI's taxonomy places the organism in Eukaryota, Metazoa, Chordata, Lepidosauria, Squamata, Viperidae.
AAAUCUCAUUUGCAAGAAGGUGCAUUUAAGAAGGAUAUUUAAGGAAAGGAAAGGGGAAGAUCUGAAGAAGGUGAUCAUUUUCUUCCUCAAAAGAUUAUUCCUUGCCAAAGCUGACCAUGGGCUGGGCUGUGAUUUUCUUGGCAGUUCUCACUUACUGCACAGGCACGGAUGGUCAGUCCCCUUGGACUCAGCCUCCCUCCAGCUCCGUCUCCCUGGGUGGAACCAUUACGAUCACCUGUAGAACUCAGAGUACCAACAGCAUCGGCUGGUAUCAACAGAAAGAAGGAAAAGGCCCUCAUUUUGUCCACUGUGAUGGCUGCAGCAACAGGGGAGAAGGGAUCCCAAAUCGCUUCACUGCCACCAGAUCUGGCACUACAGGAUCCUGGGCCAUCACCAAUGUGGAGGUUGGAGACGAGGCAGAUUAUUACUGCGGCAGCUGGAACAGUGCAGUUACCCAGUUGCACAGUGAUGAACUCUUAUGGGGAAGCGUGACAAAAACCUUCACUCUCUCUCUUCACACUGAAACCACAUGCAACGUACCUUGACCUGUGACUGGGGCA